Molecule: ribosomal RNA, 253 nt
Filed under: uncultured bacterium
Lineage: Bacteria
Description: partial 16S ribosomal RNA
Rfam family: Bacterial small subunit ribosomal RNA
Source: RNAcentral
UACAGAGGGUGCAAGCGUUAAUCGGAAUUACUGGGCGUAAAGCGCGCGUAGGUGGUUUGUUAAGUUGGAUGUGAAAUCCCCGGGCUCAACCUGGGAACUGCAUCCAAAACUGGCAAGCUAGAGUAUGGUAGUGGGUGGUGGAAUUUCCUGUGUAGCGGUGAAAUGCGUAGAUAUAGGAAGGAACACCAGUGGCGAAGGCGACCACCUGGACUGAUACUGACACUGAGGUGCGAAAGCGUGGGGAGCAAACAGG